RNAcentral lists this ribosomal RNA (262 nucleotides) under uncultured archaeon. RNAcentral's name for it is "partial 16S ribosomal RNA". It matches the Rfam family "Archaeal small subunit ribosomal RNA", at positions 748 to 1009 of the family's 1478-position model. The record is from RNAcentral.
UAGCCGUAAACGAUACUCGCUAGGUGUCGGCCACGGUGCGACCGUUGUCGGUGCCGUAGGGAAGCCGUGAAGCGAGCCACCUGGGAAGUACGGCCGCAAGGCUGAAACUUAAAGGAAUUGGCGGGGGGAGCACCACAACGGGUGGAGCUUGCGGUUUAAUUGGAUUCAACGCCGGAAAUCUUACCGGGACCGACGGUUGCAUGAAGGCCAGGCUGAUGACCUUGCCUGAUUUUCCGAGAGGAGGUGCAUGGCGUAGUCGUGU